UCUCCGUUGGUGAACCAGCGGAGGGAUCAUUACUGAGUCGUAAAAAACUCCCAACCCAUGUGAAUUUACCUAUGUUGCCUUGGCGGGACCUACCCGGUAUCUACCCUGUAGCCCGCCGAUGGACCAUUAAACUCUUGUUAUUUUAUAUAAAUCUGAGCGUCUUAUUAAAUAAGUCAAAACUUUCAACAACGGAUCUCUUGGUUCUG
Molecule: unclassified non-coding RNA, 206 nt
Filed under: plant metagenome
Description: partial contains small subunit ribosomal RNA, internal transcribed spacer 1, and 5.8S ribosomal RNA
Source: RNAcentral